CAAAGGGACAGUGAACAGUGGGCAGAUCCAUACGCCCUAUUGCUCCAUCACAGAUUGAUCCAAAUGGAGCUCUAUUCAACUGCACUGGCCGCACAAUUGAUCCCGGCCUCUCUGCUGCGACUUCAAGGGCACUGGUCAUCAGCACUGACACAAACAAAGCUGUGCGAGCACCAACACAUUUAUUCCUGGCACAGACACA
This is a long non-coding RNA of Maylandia zebra (zebra mbuna), 199 nucleotides long. RefSeq lists it as uncharacterized. The record is from RefSeq and is a predicted model, not a curated record. Lineage: Eukaryota; Metazoa; Chordata; Actinopteri; Cichliformes; Cichlidae.